Molecule: non-coding RNA, 54 nt
Organism: Danio rerio (zebrafish)
Lineage: Eukaryota; Metazoa; Chordata; Actinopteri; Cypriniformes; Danionidae
Source: Rfam
UAUUUGCAUAUUUGUAAGUUGCUUUGGAUAAAAGCAUCUUCUAAAUGACUAAAU